Armigeres subalbatus is the source of this 555-nucleotide long non-coding RNA. RefSeq lists it as uncharacterized. NCBI's taxonomy places the organism in Eukaryota, Metazoa, Arthropoda, Insecta, Diptera, Culicidae. The transcript is spliced from 3 exons. The record is from RefSeq and is a predicted model, not a curated record.
GAAGAACAGAAGUGAAUCUCGGUGACCUUUACCUUUUUUUCCAUUUAUUGAAGUUUGAGAGAUACGUAUCACUAGGGGUGAACACUCUGUUCUCUGAGCAGUUUAAAACUAUUUAUAAGCGUCCAACAAGACGUUUUUUUUUUUACACGAUUCAAGUGCGUUGACCCAUCCGUCGGCCAUCUUGCGCUGGUGUCCGCAUACGUUAAUUCGAUCGCUCGUCCUGGCCCGCCAUUCGUUGGCAGCUAAACGGAGUGCGAGGGACCGCUGGCCUUCCUGCGUACGGUUUACGUAUGAUCGGGUAGCGUACCAGCACCGCCGACAGCCCCCUCUCCGCAUCUAUAGAUCGGCCGUAAAGGACUUGAGCCCGGGCCGCCGCCGUUACGUUCCGGUCGGUAGGCACUACGCUCCGUGCCACUGUGAAUGCCCAGAACAUCGCAUGCCAUCCUAGCCCCCGGUUGACGAACCGCUGGUAGCACCGAGAGCGUAACCCAAACCUUGCGCAGGUUAGUCUACACCCAUGGCCAUGAUUACACACAUACAACAUUGACACAUACA